GUGCCAGCCGCCGCGGUAAUACGUAGGGUGCAAGCGUUGUCCGGAAUUAUUGGGCGUAAAGAGCUCGUAGGCGGUCUGUCGCGUCUGCUGUGAAAACCUAGGGCUUAACUCUGGGCGUGCAGUGGGUACGGGCAGGCUAGAGUGCGGUAGGGGAGACUGGAAUUCCUGGUGUAGCGGUGAAAUGCGCAGAUAUCAGGAGGAACACCGGUGGCGAAGGCGGGUCUCUGGGCCGUAACUGACGCUGAGGAGCGAAAGCAUGGGGAGCGAACAGGAUUAGAUACCCUGGUAGUCC
RNAcentral lists this ribosomal RNA (292 nucleotides) under uncultured bacterium. RNAcentral's name for it is "partial 16S ribosomal RNA". It matches the Rfam family "Bacterial small subunit ribosomal RNA", at positions 505 to 796 of the family's 1533-position model. The record is from RNAcentral.